This 20-nucleotide transfer RNA is filed under the name Plestiodon brevirostris (shortnose skink). Its description in RNAcentral is "partial tRNA-Met". The record is from RNAcentral. Lineage: Eukaryota; Metazoa; Chordata; Lepidosauria; Squamata; Scincidae.
GUAAGGUCAGCUAAUUAAGC